This 86-nucleotide non-coding RNA is filed under the name uncultured Micromonas. Lineage: Eukaryota; Viridiplantae; Chlorophyta; Mamiellophyceae; Mamiellales. The record is from RNAcentral.
AAUAAUAGAAAGAAAAGAAAGAAAAGAAAAAGGAGGACAAAAGAAAGUCAUCUCUUCUUAUGCAUGUACAACUUGCUUGCUUGUCU